RNAcentral lists this ribosomal RNA (253 nucleotides) under uncultured bacterium. RNAcentral's name for it is "partial 16S ribosomal RNA". It matches the Rfam family "Bacterial small subunit ribosomal RNA", at positions 524 to 776 of the family's 1533-position model. The record is from RNAcentral.
UACGAAGGGGGCAAGCGUUGUUCGGAAUUACUGGGCGUAAAGCGCGUGUAGGCGGUUGUUCCAGUCAGGUGUGAAAGCCUUGAGCUCAACUCAAGAAAUGCACUUGAUACUGGAUGACUAGAGGACCGGAGAGGAUAGUGGAAUUCCCAGUGUAGUGGUGAAAUACGUAGAGAUUGGGAAGAACACCAGUGGCGAAGGCGGCUAUCUGGACGGUUUCUGACGCUAAGACGCGAAAGCGUGGGGAGCAAACAGG